Molecule: small RNA, 105 nt
Filed under: Gallaecimonas xiamenensis 3-C-1
Lineage: Bacteria; Pseudomonadati; Pseudomonadota; Gammaproteobacteria; Enterobacterales; Gallaecimonadaceae
Source: RNAcentral
UGCACAUUUUAUGCACAAGCACCGCCGAGUUUCAUUAGCGCACGGCUCUCACCGAGAGCCAUUCCCCUGAGCCCGAAACAUGGACAUAGUUUCGGGCUUUUUUUA